Molecule: non-coding RNA, 68 nt
Organism: Rhamnusium bicolor
Lineage: Eukaryota; Metazoa; Arthropoda; Insecta; Coleoptera; Cerambycidae
Source: the annotation of a GenBank genome assembly
UCAUGGUUGAGUGGUAAGGACCCUUGCCUCUCAUGGACGAGUUCCGGGUUCGAUUCCCGGUUGAAGAG